GCCUCUUUACCCUGUUCGCGCCGACCUCGCUCUUGCUCUUAACCUAACGUCUCUCUCUCCCUUUCUCUGUGGCUAUAGGCAUCGGAGCUGGGCUUCGAGCUUACAGUUUUAAUCUCCGUUCUCGUUGCUGGAAAUCACUAUCUGUAGAUAGCCAUAGAAAUGGGGGGCGCCGAAUGCUGCCGGAGAUUGGUCGUUGGAGAUGGAGGUCGAUGCUUUCAGACGCCUCUUCCCCGUUCACUACUAUGAGCGGCAUGUCUCUGAAUCCAUAUGCCCGAUGCUAAAACCCUGGAAAAAGCCAGAGAUACUAUUGUGUCCCUCAGGGCUGUUGCAUCCUCUGAUGGGUCUGCACUGGCAAAGAUUGGUUCCACCACAAUGUUGGCUGCUAUAAAAAUGGAAGUCAUGACUCCUUCUGUCGAUUCGCCUGAUGAAGGCAGUAUAGCGGUUGAGUUUCAUAUGCCCCCC
This is a long non-coding RNA of Eucalyptus grandis, 462 nucleotides long. RefSeq lists it as uncharacterized. The record is from RefSeq and is a predicted model, not a curated record. Lineage: Eukaryota; Viridiplantae; Streptophyta; Magnoliopsida; Myrtales; Myrtaceae. The transcript is spliced from 5 exons.